RNAcentral lists this unclassified non-coding RNA (194 nucleotides) under uncultured Strophariaceae. RNAcentral's name for it is "sequence contains ITS1". The record is from RNAcentral. Lineage: Eukaryota; Fungi; Basidiomycota; Agaricomycetes; Agaricales; Strophariaceae.
UUGAAUAAACCUGAUGUAGUUGUAGCUGGCUCUCUCGGGAGCAUGUGCACGCUCGUCAUCUUUAUAUUUCCACCUGUGCACCUUUUGUAGACCCAGGCGGCUUGAGCAAUCAAGUCAUUUGGGCCUAUGUCUUAUCAUAUACCCCAAGUAUGUAUUAGAAUGUAUCAAUGGGCUUCGUGCCUAUAAACAUUAUA